RNAcentral lists this ribosomal RNA (1445 nucleotides) under uncultured haloarchaeon. RNAcentral describes it as "bacterial SSU rRNA". It matches the Rfam family "Archaeal small subunit ribosomal RNA". Lineage: Archaea; Methanobacteriati; Methanobacteriota; Halobacteria; Halobacteriales; Halobacteriaceae. The record is from RNAcentral.
UUCUGGUUGAUCCUGCCGGAGGCCAUUGCUAUUGGAGUCCGAUUUAGCCAUGCUAGUUGCACGAGUUCAGACUCGUAGCAGAUAGCUCAGUAACACGUGGCCAAACUACCCUCUGGAGCGCGACAACCUCGGGAAACUGAGGCUAAUCGUGCAUACCGCUCUCAGGCUGGAACUGCCGAGAGCUCGAAAUGCCCCGGCGCCAGAGGAUGUGGCUGCGGCCGAUUAGGUAGACGGUGGGGUAACGGCCCACCGUGCCAGUAAUCGGUACGGGUUGUGAGAGCAAGAGCCCAGAGACGGUAUCUGAGACAAGAUACCGGGCCCUACGGGGCGCAGCAGGCGCGAAACCUUUACACUGCACGCCAGUGCGAUAAGGGGACUCCAAGCGCGAAGGCAUAGAGCCCUCGCUUUUCUGUACCGUAAGGUGGUACAGGAAUAAGUGCUGGGCAGGACCGGUGCCAGCCGCCGCGGUAAUACCGGCAGCACGAGUGAUGGCCGCUCUUAUUGGGCCUAAAGCGUCCGUAGCUGGCCGCGCAAGUCCAUCGGGAAAUCCGCACGCUUAACGUGCGGGCGUCCGGUGGAAACUGCGUGGCUUGGGACCGGAAGAUCCGGAGGGUACGUCCGGGGUAGGAGUGAAAUCCUGUAAUCCUGGACGGACCACCGGUGGCGAAAGCGCUCUGGAAAGACGGAUCCGACGGUGAGGGAUGAAAGCUGGGGGAGCAAACCGGAUUAGAUACCCGGGUAGUCCCAGCUGUAAACGAUGCAGACUCGGUGAUGGACUAGCUUAAUGCUAGUCCAGUGCCGCAGGGAAGCCGUUAAGUCUGCCGCCUGGGUAGUACGGUCGCAAGACUGAAACUUAAAGGAAUUGGCGGGGGAGCACCACAAGGGGUGAAGCCUGCGGUUCAAUUGGAGUCAACGCCGGGAAUCUUACCGGGGGCGACAGCAGAGUGAAGGUCAAGCUGAAGACUUUACUAGACAAGCUGAGAGGAGGUGCAUGGCCGUCGCCAGCUCGUGCCGUGAGGUGUCCUGUUAAGUCAGGUAACGAGCGAGACCCCUGCUUCUAGUUGCUACUUUUAUUCCCCGGAGUAGAAGGGCUAAUUAGAAGGACUGCCGCCGCUAAGGCGGAGGAAGGAGGGGGCUACGGCAGGUCAGUAUGCCCCGAAACCCUCGGGCCACACGCGGGCUGCAAUGGUAAGUACAAUAGGUUCCGAUUUCGAAAGGAGGAGGCAAUCCGCAAAACUUACCACAGUUAUGAUUGAGGGCUGAAACUCGUCCUCAUGAAUAUGGAAUCCCUAGUAAUCGCGUGUCAUCAUCGCGCGGUGAAUACGUCCCUGCUCCUUGCACACACUGCCCGUCGCUUCAUCGAAGUUGGUUUUAGGCGAGGUGGUGCGAUUUGGCAUUAUCGAACCUGAGAUCAGCAACGAGGGAGAAGUCGUAGCAAGGUAACC